Molecule: long non-coding RNA, 241 nt
Organism: Gymnogyps californianus (California condor)
Lineage: Eukaryota; Metazoa; Chordata; Aves; Accipitriformes; Cathartidae
Exons: 3
Source: RefSeq, a predicted model, not a curated record
CAAAGCCCCAAGUAGAGCACGUCUUCCUCGAGCUGAUGGCAUGGUGGUGUUUGGGUUGUCAGUUGUGAGAGGGAGCCAUGAUAAAAAGACGUUACCGCAGCGUGGAUGAUGUGUUGCGGGCUAUCCCAGGUGCAUUGCAUCUUCCUGGAAUUCCUGGCUUUAUUGAAGAUGGAACCUUGUUUUCUUCACCAGUUUUGGUGUAUACUGUGCGCCCUGCGGACAGCCUUUGGAAUUGGAUGAG